Molecule: unclassified non-coding RNA, 498 nt
Filed under: uncultured Glomus
Lineage: Eukaryota; Fungi; Glomeromycota; Glomeromycetes; Glomerales; Glomeraceae
Description: SSU rRNA
Rfam family: Eukaryotic small subunit ribosomal RNA
Source: RNAcentral
CCAAUAGCGUAUAUUAAAGUUGUUGCAGUUAAAAAGCUCGUAGUUGAAUUUCGGGGUUAGUAGGUUGGUCAUGCCUCUGGUAUGUACUGGUCUCACUGAUUCCUCCUUCCUGAUGAGCCGUAAUGCCAUUAAUUUGGUGUUGCGGGGAAUUUGGACUGUUACUUUGAAAAAAUUAGAGUGUUUAAAGCAAGCUAACGCUUGAAUACAUUAGCAUGGAAUAAUGAAAUAGGACGUUCGAUCCUAUUUUGUUGGUUUCUAGGAUUGACGUAAUGAUUAAUAGGGAUAGUUGGGGGCAUUAGUAUUCAAUUGUCAGAGGUGAAAUUCUUGGAUUUAUUGAAGACUAACUACUGCGAAAGCAUUUGCCAAGGAUGUUUUCAUUAAUCAAGAACGAAAGUUAGGGGAUCGAAGACGAUCAGAUACCGUCGUAGUCUUAACCAUAAACUAUGCCGACUAGGGAUCGGAUGAUGUUAUUUUUAAUGACUCAUUCGGCGCCUUACG